Long non-coding RNA from Mobula hypostoma (lesser devil ray), 1975 nucleotides. RefSeq lists it as uncharacterized. The transcript is spliced from 3 exons. NCBI's taxonomy places the organism in Eukaryota, Metazoa, Chordata, Chondrichthyes, Myliobatiformes, Myliobatidae. The record is from RefSeq and is a predicted model, not a curated record.
GUAAAACUAAACAUACAACAGUUAUCCUUGGCUCCUGUGUUUUUCUUUUAAUUAGUUUUAUGUUUUACAAAUAAUAAAAUAUACAAGGAGAGCAAUAAAGAAAUAGAGUUAAGAAUCUUUUGAAGAUGGGGAUAGGUUAACAAAAGAAGAAUUCAUCCAUUUUCAAGAAAGAAAAAGCAAGAAUCAGAAUCAGGUUCCAUCGGAAUCGGCGGGAGGAGAGAGAAGCAGUGCGCCGCGCGUGCGCAGCCCUCCGGUGAAAAAUGUUAUUGUAUCCAUUAAAUAGAGACCAUGGACAAUUCCGAUUUGAUGGAGAUGGACGUGAAAGCACAGAGGAACAUCUGGAGAAAUUUCUGAAACGCUCGUUUGCUGCUGUCAUUACUGCGCAGUCGGGAAUCUUUCGGAGGGAAGGCCUCAAAAUCCCCGGCUUUGCCUGCUGUUGGCGACCGAGAAGGAGGUCGAAUCGCCCGGACAGAGAUGGCGCUCAGUACUCGGUGUCGGAGAGCUGAUCAGAGCUCAAAGCUUUCCGAUGACUCGGAGUCAGACCGUGGUCGGGUAUGGCAGGGAGAGUUUUUCUUCCUUCUCCCGUCUGCGUGAGAUGUGGGAUAUUUGAGAGAUUUUGAACUUUUUACUGUGCUCAUGGACUUCUUCAUCAAGUUAUGAUUAUGUAUUGCAUUGAACUGCUGCUGCUGCUAAGUUAACAAAUUUUAUGUCACAUGCUGGUGAUAAUAAACCUGAUUCUGAUUCUGAAGAUACACACUCAACAAUUCAGUAAUAGCUCUUCCUCUCCACCAUCAGAUUUCUGAAUGGACAGUAGACCCAGGGUGGCGAUACGUCUCUACCAAAGGAGGUAUAAGGUGCAUCUCCCUCCGCUAGCCUGCAGGUCACCCUUGGGCCAUGGGAACAGGUGGUGAAUGGCCGUAUGAGGAGCUGGUGCGUAUCACAAGUCCUGGUUAUGUGACAACUGACAUCAGGCAGACAAUCUCUGACGAACAUUGAUAAUGAGUGGGGUCAUUCAUCUUGCAAAGACUCUACCCAGAAGAAGGCAGUAGCAAACCACUUUUAUAUAAAAAUUUGCUGAGAACAGUCAUGGUCAUGGAUAGACUAUGAUCACCUACGUCAUAUUGAUGAUGAUGAGUAUGAUAAGAUGGACACCUCACAACCCAACUUGUUAUAAGACCAUAAGAUAUAGAAGCAAAGUUAAGCCACUGGGCCCAUCAAGUCUGCUCUGUCAUUUCAUCAUGGUUUAAUCCAUCUCCCUCUCAGUCCCAAUCCCCUGCCUUCUCCCUGUAUCCCUUCAUGCCCUCACUAAUCAAGAAUCUAUCAGCCUCUGCCAAUGACUUGGUUUGCAUAACCAUGGUGGCAAUGCAUUCCACAGAUUCACCACUCUCUGGUUAAAGAAAUCCCUCCCCAUCUCCAUUCUAAAAGGACGCUCCUCUAUUAUGAGACUGUGUCCUCUGGUUUUAGACAGCUACACCAUAGAAAACAUCACAUCCACUCUAUCAAGGCCUUUCAACAGGUUGCAGUGAGGACCCCCUCAUUCUUCUGAAAUCAAGUGAGUACAGGCCCAGAGCCAUCAAAUGCCCCUCAUAUGAUAAGCCAUUCAAUCCUAGAAUCAUUUUCAUGAACAUCCUUUGAACCCCCUCUGAUGUCAGCACAUCCUUUCUUAGAUAAGGAGCCCAAAACUGCUCACAGUAAUCCAGGUGAACUCUUACCAAUGUCUUUUAAAGCCUCAACAUUAUAUUCUUGUUUUUAUAAUCUUACAUCUAUUGUUUACCUGUAUUGUACUUUCUCUGUUCCUGUUACACGUUAUUCACAUUGUUAUUGUUUGAUUUUGUUCUAUUUUAAUGCAAUGCUUAAUAAUAUAAUCUGUAUAAAUAGUAUGUACAACAAGUGUUUCAUUGUAGCUCUGUAUGUGUUCUUCCAGCAGAUAUGUAUCUGUUGUUCCAUAUCCCAGCAUCAUGUAUCUCCAAUUAUA